This 18-nucleotide transfer RNA is filed under the name Brachystegia leonensis. Its description in RNAcentral is "partial tRNA-His". The record is from RNAcentral. Lineage: Eukaryota; Viridiplantae; Streptophyta; Magnoliopsida; Fabales; Fabaceae. RNAcentral also lists the same sequence under 9 other names.
CCAAGUGGAUCAAGGCAG